Molecule: ribosomal RNA, 952 nt
Filed under: uncultured bacterium
Lineage: Bacteria
Description: bacterial SSU rRNA
Rfam family: Bacterial small subunit ribosomal RNA
Source: RNAcentral
AGAGUUUGAUCCUGGCUCAGAAUGAACGCUGGCGGCGUGCUUAACACAUGCAAGUCGAACGAGAAAGGGAUUGCUUGCAAUCCUGAGUAGAGUGGCGCACGGGUGAGUAACACGUAGAUAAUCUACCUUCGAUUUUGGGAUAACCAUCCGAAAGGGUGGCUAAAACCGGAUAAAGUUGAUACAUGAGAAUGUAUUAAUGAAAGAUAGCCUAUGCUUGCAAGCUAUUGAUUGGAGAUGAGUCUGCGGACCAUUAGCUGGUUGGUGGGGUAAGAGCCUACCAAGGCGACGAUGGUUAGCUGGUCUGAGAGGAUGAUCAGUCACACUGGAACUGGAACACGGUCCAGACUCCUACGGGAGGCAGCAGUGAGGAAUUUUGCGCAAUGGGGUAACCCCUGACGCAGCAACGCCGCGUGAGUGAAGAAGGCCUUUGGGUCGUAAAGCUCUGUCAACUGGGAAGAAAUUACAAGUAUCUAAUAGGUGUUUGUAUUGACGGUACCAGUGGAGGAAGCGCCGGCUAACUCCGUGCCAGCAGCCGCGGUAACACGGGGGGCGCAAGCGUUAUUCGGAAUUAUUGGGCGUAAAGGGCGUGUAGGCGGUCUUAUCGGUCAGAUGUGAAAGCCCAGGGCUCAACCCUGGACGUGCAUUUGAAACAGUAAGACUUGAGUACUGGAGAGGAAAGCGGAAUUCCUGGUGUAAAGGUGAAAUUCGUAGAUAUCAGGAGGAACACCGAUGGCGAAGGCAGCUUUCUGGACAGAAACUGACGCUGAUGCGCGAAGGCGUGGGUAGCGAACAGGAUUAGAUACCCUGGUAGUCCACGCAGUAAACGAUGUACACUAGGUGUAGGGGAUAUUAAAAUUUUCUGUGCCGCAGUUAACGCAUUAAGUGUACCGCCUGGGGAGUACGGUCGCAAGACUAAAACUCAAAGGAAUUGACGGGGGCCCGCACAAGCGGU